UGUGUCCUACGGGGCGCAGCAGUAGGGAAUUUUCGUCAAUGGGCGCAAGCCUGAACGAGCAAUGCCGCGUGAACGAGGAAGGUCUUCGGAUCGUAAACUUCUGUUCUUAGUGAAGAAAAAUGACGGUAGCUAAGGAGCAAGCCACGGCUAACUACGUGCCAGCAGCCGCGGUAAUACGUAGGUGGCAAGCGUUGUCCGGAAUUACUGGGUGUAAAGGGAGCGCAGGCGGGAAGCCAAGUCAGCUGUGAAAACUACGGGCUUAACUUG
This 267-nucleotide ribosomal RNA is filed under the name uncultured bacterium. RNAcentral describes it as "partial 16S ribosomal RNA". It matches the Rfam family "Bacterial small subunit ribosomal RNA", at positions 333 to 616 of the family's 1533-position model. The record is from RNAcentral.